This 235-nucleotide ribosomal RNA is filed under the name uncultured bacterium. Its description in RNAcentral is "partial 16S ribosomal RNA". It matches the Rfam family "Bacterial small subunit ribosomal RNA", at positions 96 to 334 of the family's 1533-position model. The record is from RNAcentral.
UGGCGGACGGGUGAGUAAUGUCUGGGAAACUGCCCGAUGGAGGGGGAUAACUACUGGAAACGGUAGCUAAUACCGCAUAACGUCGCAAGACCAAAGAGGGGGACCUUCGGGCCUCUUGCCAUCGGAUGUGCCCAGAUGGGAUUAGCUAGUAGGUGGGGUAACGGCUCACCUAGGCGACGAUCCCUAGCUGGUUUGAGAGGAUGACCAGCCACACUGGAACUGAGACACGGUCCAG